Molecule: ribosomal RNA, 253 nt
Filed under: uncultured bacterium
Lineage: Bacteria
Description: partial 16S ribosomal RNA
Rfam family: Bacterial small subunit ribosomal RNA
Source: RNAcentral
UACGUAGGUGGCAAGCGUUGUCCGGAAUUACUGGGCGUAAAGCGCGUGUAGGUGGUGGGACAAGUCUGCUGUGAAAGCGCCUGGCUUAACCGGGCGAGGUCGGCGGAAACUGUCCGACUCGAGGACGGUAGAGGGGGGUGGAAUUCCCGGUGUAGUGGUGAAAUGCGUAGAGAUCGGGAGGAACACCUGUGGCGAAGGCGGCCCCCUGGGCCGGCCCUGACACUGAGACGCGAAGGCGUGGGGAGCGAACGGG